Molecule: ribosomal RNA, 407 nt
Filed under: uncultured bacterium
Lineage: Bacteria
Description: partial 16S ribosomal RNA
Rfam family: Bacterial small subunit ribosomal RNA
Source: RNAcentral
AUUGAACGCUGGCGGCAGGCUUAACACAUGCAAGUCGAGCGGAGCGGCGGACGGGUGAGUAAUGCCUAGGAAUCUGCCCGGUAGUGGGGGAUAACGUCCGGUACUGGGCGCUAAUCCCGCAUACUAUCAGAUGAGCCUAGGUCGGAUUAGCUAGUUGGUGGGGUAAAGGACUACCAAGGCGACGAGCCGUAACUGGUCUGCGAGGAGGAUCAGUCACACUGGAACUGAGACACGGUCCAGACUCCUACGGGAGGCAGCAGUGGGGAAUAUUGGACAAUGGGCGAAAGCCUGAUCCAGCCAUGCCGCGUGUGUGAAGAAGGUCUUCGGAUUGUAAAGCACUUUAAGUUGGGAGGCGUUACCAACAGAAUAAGCACCGGCUAACUUCGUGCCAGCAGCCGCGGUAAUUC